CCGGCCCUCCGCGAGCACCCGCGGGGGUUCGGGUUCCGGACCCGGUCCGAUCCCGUUCCCACCGAGGGGCUGUCCGCGAUCAUGGAGGUGUCCUCGGACGGCGUCGAAUCUUUUUUUUCUCCGGUCCGCGACGCUACGGCUUGGAUGGUCCACCCGACCCGUCUUGAAACACGGACCAAGGAGUCUAACAUGCGCGCGAGUCGUUGGGUCGGACACGCUCCGCUAAACCCAUAGGCGCAAUGAAAGUGAAGGCCGCCGUCGGGCGGCCGAGGGAGGACGGGGCCGGUCGCGCGUUCCGGCGCGCGUCGGUCCCCGCACCCCCGGGGCGUCUGAUCCCUCAUCGCGAGGGGAGGCGCACCCAGAGCGCACACGUUGGGACCCGAAAGAUGGUGAACUAUGCCUGGCCAGGACGAAGUCAGGGGAAACCCUGAUGGAGGUCCGUAGCGAUUCUGACGUGCAAAUCGAUCGUCGGAGCUGGGUAUAGGGGCGAAAGACUAAUCGAACCAUCUAGUAGCUGGUUCCCUCCGAAGUUUCCCUCAGGAUAGCUUGCGCUCGGAGGAGAGUCUCAUCCGGUAAAGCGAAUGAUUAGAGGCCUUGGGGCCGAAACGGCUUCAACCUAUUCUCAAACUUUAAAUGGGUGAGAACUCCGGCUUGCUCGACUUGUCGAAGCCGGAGACGGGGCUCCGGCCCCCGGGAUCGGAGUGCAUAGUGGGCCACUUUUGGUAAGCAGAACUGGCGCUGUGGGAUGAACCAAACGACGGGUUAAGGCGCCCGAAUCGACGCUCAUGGGAAACCAUGAAAGGUGUUGGUUGCUUAAGACAGCAGGACGGUGGCCAUGGAAGUCGGAAUCCGCUAAGGAGUGUGUAAUAACUCACCUGCCGAAGCAACUAGCCCUGAAAAUGGAUGGCGCUGAAGCGUCGUGCCUAUACCCGGCCGUCGCGGCAGGGCGGACCCGCGAGGGUGCCGUUCGAUGCGGCGACGAGUAGGAGGGUCGCGGCGGCGCGCGCAGAAGGGUCUGGGCUCGAGCCUGCCUGGAGCCGCCGCCGGUGCAGAUCUUGGUGGUAGUAGCAAAUACUCCAGCGAGGCCCUGGAGGACUGAUGUGGAGAAGGGUUUCGUGUGAACAGCCGUUGCACACGAGUCAGUCGAUCCUAAGCCCUAGGAGAAAUCCGACGCCAACGGCGACGGGAAAAACGAACGAGAAAGAAACCCGUUGAUCGGGCGAAAGGGAAUCCGGUUCCUAUUCCGGAACCCGGCAGCGGAACCGCUGUUUGUCGGGCCCUCACAAGGGGUUCGUCAGGGUAACCUAAAAGGGCCCGGAGACGCCGUCGGGAGCCCCGGAAAGAGUUUUCUUUUCUGCAUGAGCGUUCGAGUUCCCUGGAAUCCU
Molecule: ribosomal RNA, 1385 nt
Filed under: Microstigma maculatum
Lineage: Eukaryota; Metazoa; Arthropoda; Insecta; Odonata; Coenagrionidae
Description: partial 28S ribosomal RNA
Rfam family: Eukaryotic large subunit ribosomal RNA
Source: RNAcentral